Molecule: ribosomal RNA, 549 nt
Filed under: uncultured bacterium
Lineage: Bacteria
Description: bacterial SSU rRNA
Rfam family: Bacterial small subunit ribosomal RNA
Source: RNAcentral
GGANUUGCGAUGGGCGAAAGCCUGACGCAGCAACGCCGCGUGGGGGAUGAAGCCCUUCGGGGUGUAAACCCCUUUCGACCCGGACGAAUGCCCGCAAGGGCUUGACGGUACGGGUAUAAGAAGCCCCGGCUAACUACGUGCCAGCAGCCGCGGUAAAACGUAGGGGGCCAGCGUUGCUCGGAAUUACUGGGCGUAAAGGGUCCGUAGGCGGUGUGACAAGUCGGUAGUGAAAUCUCCGGGCUUAACUCGGAGGCUGCUGCCGAAACUGUUGUGCUAGAGUGCGAGAGAGGCGAGUGGAAUUGCGGGUGUAGCGGUGAAAUGCGUAGAUAUCCGCAGGAACAUCCGAGGCGAAAGCGGCUCGCUGGACGCCAACUGACGCUGAGGGACGAAAGCUAGGGGAGCAAACAGGAUUAGAUACCCUGGUAGCCCUAGCCCUAAACCAUCAGGACUUGGGGUUUGCCCUGUACGGGGCAAGUCCCGGAACUAACGCGUUAAGUCCUGCGCCUGGGGAGUACGGUCGCAAGGCUGAAACUCAAAGAAAUUGACGGA